This 476-nucleotide ribosomal RNA is filed under the name Penicillium biourgeianum. Its description in RNAcentral is "eukaryotic LSU rRNA". The stretch from base 142 to 295 matches the Rfam family "5.8S ribosomal RNA". The record is from RNAcentral. Lineage: Eukaryota; Fungi; Ascomycota; Eurotiomycetes; Eurotiales; Aspergillaceae.
CCCGUGUUUAUUUACCUUGUUGCUUCGGCGAGCCUGCCUUUUGGCUGCCGGGGGACGUCAGUCCCCGGGUCCGUGCUCGCCGGAGACACCUUAGAACUCUGUCUGAAGAUUGUAGUCUGAGAUUAAAUAUAAAUUAUUUAAAACUUUCAACAACGGAUCUCUUGGUUCCGGCAUCGAUGAAGAACGCAGCGAAAUGCGAUACGUAAUGUGAAUUGCAGAAUUCAGUGAAUCAUCGAGUCUUUGAACGCACAUUGCGCCCUCUGGUAUUCCGGAGGGCAUGCCUGUCCGAGCGUCAUUGCUGCCCUCAAGCACGGCUUGUGUGUUGGGCCCCGUCCUCCUUCCGGGGGACGGGUCCGAAAGGCAGCGGCGGCACCGCGUCCGGUCCUCAAGCGUAUGGGGCUUUGUCACUCGCUUUGUAGGCCUGGCCGGCGCUUGCCGAUCAACCAAACUUUUUAUCAGGUUGACCUCGGAUCAGG